RNAcentral lists this long non-coding RNA (1169 nucleotides) under Solanum tuberosum (potato). RNAcentral describes it as "long non-coding RNA (STUB_LNC009176)". Lineage: Eukaryota; Viridiplantae; Streptophyta; Magnoliopsida; Solanales; Solanaceae. The record is from RNAcentral.
CUCAGUCCACUACUAGAAUUUGACAAGGGGGAAUACUGGCCAAAUAUUGCUCAAAUUCCCAUCAUAGACAUCGAUCGGGAAUGCCUGUAAUGAUUAAAAGAAUAGCUCUCCAACUGAUGUAAGCUAUUCUUUUCCCUCAGAAGCUUCUUAUUUCUGUUUACUUCACUUUGCUUUUUUGUUAAUUCUCUUCAUUUUUAAAUAUUUUGUGCUCAUCGCCAAACACAUAACCUCAAUAGAGAAUCUAAAUUUUUGAAAAGAUAAGGGAUAAUUAUGUUGUGCUCAUCAUCAAACACAUAGAUUUAUAUAGUUGUAUAUUUCUUGGAUGGGGCAGGUACUGGAUUCGUUUCUCAUUGCUUAUUGGUUUAUGCUCUUACCGUGUUUUAAUUCACGUCUCAAUUGCGAAAGAAAUCAUAUGUAGCUUGUGCCACCAUGUUUAAUAGAAAGUCUUUAGUUCUUGUAAGCAUCAACGGAAACUUUUCUUAACAGUAGAAUGUUUAAUACAUUGUAUUUGCACUAUCCUUCAAUGUUUGCAUAAAAAUCUUCUCUUGCAUAUACUUUUGCAAUUUUAAACUUCAUUUUGAACUGUGUUGUUGCUAACUUAAACAUGUUCUGUGCUUAAUCAGAUGUGGAUUUUGAAGGGCGAGUACGACAAGUCUGGUCCAUCCAUUGUCCACAGGAAGUGCUUCUAAGGUGCUGCUGCUAUUUUUACAUCUGUUCGCGAGUUCUUUUUUAUUGUUUUGUUCUUUCCGCUAAAGCUAUUAUGUCGUCCACAGUGAACUCAGAUCUACUGUUAUAGGCAAGUCUUUGAGAUGCGGCUAUCAAAGAAGGGCGAUUAAAAUCAUUGUACCGCUGAUACUAUUUCAUGUUUCCAGUGCAAGCCUCUUUUGUAAGUUGACAAAUUCGAUUUUGUAAAUAUGUUUGGGACUCAACUAGUGGUUAGAGUAAUGAUUUUGUAAGAUUUGUGUACAAAAAAUCAAAUUAGAAAGAUAACUCGCGAUGAUUGAAUAAGCUCGAAGAAGUGGAUUUGAAUUUCAAAUCGUGUCUUUCUUUUAUUUUAUGUGUGUGAGAAAUUUGAAGUGUUGUUUAGAUUUGUUGGAAUAGUCUAAAGAGAUUCUCUCUAUAAAAUUUGAAGUCAUUUGAUGGAGAUCGGAUUAGAUGAUUUUGAACAA